UACGUAGGGUGCGAGCGUUGUCCGGAAUUAUUGGGCGUAAAGGGCUCGUAGGCGGUCUGUUGCGUCGGGUGUGAAAACUCAGGGCUUAACCCUGAGCCUGCUUCCGAUACGGGCAGACUAGAGGUAUGCAGGGGAGAACGGAAUUCCUGGUGUAGCGGUGAAAUGCGCAGAUAUCAGGAGGAACACCGAUGGCGAAGGCAGGUCUCUGGGCAUUAACUGACGCUGAGGAGCGAAAGCAUGGGGAGCGAACAGG
This 253-nucleotide ribosomal RNA is filed under the name uncultured bacterium. RNAcentral's name for it is "partial 16S ribosomal RNA". It matches the Rfam family "Bacterial small subunit ribosomal RNA", at positions 524 to 776 of the family's 1533-position model. The record is from RNAcentral.